This 497-nucleotide ribosomal RNA is filed under the name uncultured bacterium. RNAcentral's name for it is "partial 16S ribosomal RNA". It matches the Rfam family "Bacterial small subunit ribosomal RNA", at positions 28 to 507 of the family's 1533-position model. The record is from RNAcentral.
GAUGAACGCUGGCGGCGUGCCUAAUACAUGCAAGUCGAGCGAACAGACGAGGAGCUUGCUCCUCUGACGUUAGCGGCGGACGGGUGAGUAACACGUGGAUAACCUACCUAUAAGACUGGGAUAACUUCGGGAAACCGGAGCUAAUACCGGAUAAUAUAUUGAACCGCAUGGUUCAAUAGUGAAAGACGGUUUUGCUGUCACUUAUAGAUGGAUCCGCGCCGCAUUAGCUAGUUGGUAAGGUAACGGCUUACCAAGGCAACGAUGCGUAGCCGACCUGGGAGGGUGAUCGGCCACACUGGAACUGAGACACGGUCCAGACUCCUACGGGAGGCAGCAGUAGGGAAUCUUCCGCAAUGGGCGAAAGCCUGACGGAGCAACGCCGCGUGAGUGAUGAAGGUCUUCGGAUCGUAAAACUCUGUUAUUAGGGAAGAACAAAUGUGUAAGUAACUAUGCAUGUCUUGACGGUACCUAAUCAGAAAGCCACGGCUAACUACGUG